This 74-nucleotide transfer RNA is filed under the name Candidatus Woesearchaeota archaeon. Its description in RNAcentral is "tRNA-Lys". It matches the Rfam family "tRNA". Rfam says of the family: Transfer RNA (tRNA) molecules are approximately 80 nucleotides in length. Their secondary structure includes four short double-helical elements and three loops (D, anti-codon, and T loops). Lineage: Archaea; Nanobdellati; Candidatus Woesearchaeota. The record is from RNAcentral.
GGGCUCAUAGCUCAGCCUGGUAGAGCAUUGGACUCUUAAUCCAAGGGUCGGGGGUUCAAAUCCCUCUGAGCCCG